Macaca mulatta (Rhesus monkey) is the source of this 650-nucleotide non-coding RNA. Lineage: Eukaryota; Metazoa; Chordata; Mammalia; Primates; Cercopithecidae. The record is from RefSeq and is a predicted model, not a curated record.
GUCCUAGGUACCUCAUAUAAGUGGAAUUAUAUAAUAUUUGUCCUUUCGUGACUGGCUUAUUUCAUUUAGUGUAAUGUCUUCAAGGCUUAUCCAUGUUGUAAAAGGUGUCAGAAUUUCCUUCCAUUGCAGUAUACACCACACUUUGUUUAGUUAUUCAUCCGUGAUGGACACCUGAGUUGCUUCUGUCUUUUGGCAGUUCACACCCUCUUCUUAACCGUCUUGACCUGCAAGUGACACCUGUCUCUUCUGAUCACAUUCCACAGGAGGACGUAUGACACAGCCCCACCUACAUGCAAGGGGAGCCAGGAAGUGUAAUCCCUGGCUGGGCUGCCAUGUCUCAGAAACCAUUAAGCCUAUGGAAGGUCUCUGGAUUUGAUGGCAAAUAGCAGCAGAAAUGUGGAAAAGAUCAAAGUGAUGUCAAGGUUGAUCUCUGAGUUUGGCAGGGCUGAACUCAAACAUCAUUCGCCAUGGACCCAGUGUCUUUAGUAGCUGAGUAGGGUCAUUCCCCUGUGAUAUGUGCACUCAAUUGCUAGCCAGUUUUGAAGAUGUUGAGUAUCUGUUUUCCCCUUCCCCACACUGGCCCUCACUGAGAUCCAUGUCUAAUAUUAUGAAAGUCAUACAUUAUCAUUAUAAACUAAUCAUAAAUGUCA